GACGAACGCUGGCGGCGUGCCUAAUACAUGCAAGUUGAGCGCUGAAGGUUGGUACUUGUACCAACUGGAUGAGCAGCAAACGGGUGAGUAACGCGUGGGGAAUCUGCCUUUGAGCGGGGGACAACAUUUGGAAACGAAUGCUAAUACCGCAUAAAAACUUUAAACACAAGUUUUAAGUUUGAAAGAUGCAAUUGCAUCACUCAAAGAUGAUCCCGCGUUGUAUUAGCUAGUUGGUGAGGUAAAGGCUCACCAAGGCGAUGAGACAUAGCCGACCUGAGAGGGUGAUCGGCCACAUUGGGACUGAGACACGGCCCAAACGCCUACGGGAGGCAGCAGUAGGGAAUCUUCGGCAAUGGACGAAAGUCUGACCGAGCAACGCCGCGUGAGUGAAGAAGGUUUUCGGAUCGUAAAACUCUGUUGGUAGAGAAGAACGUUGGUGAGAGUGGAAAGCUCAUCAAGUGACGGUAACUACCCAGAAAGGGACGGCUAACUACGUG
Molecule: ribosomal RNA, 497 nt
Filed under: uncultured bacterium
Lineage: Bacteria
Description: partial 16S ribosomal RNA
Rfam family: Bacterial small subunit ribosomal RNA
Source: RNAcentral